RNAcentral lists this ribosomal RNA (773 nucleotides) under uncultured Neocallimastigales. RNAcentral describes it as "partial large subunit ribosomal RNA". It matches the Rfam family "Eukaryotic large subunit ribosomal RNA", at positions 24 to 645 of the family's 3401-position model. Lineage: Eukaryota; Fungi; Neocallimastigomycota; Neocallimastigomycetes; Neocallimastigales. The record is from RNAcentral.
GCAUCUGUGCAUGCAGCAUAUCAAUAAGCGGAGGAAAAGAAACUAACAAGGAUUCCCUUAGUAACGGCGAGUGAAGCGGGAAGAGCUCAAAUUUGAAAUCUUCAAGGGUUUACCUUUACGAAUUGUAGUUUAAAGAAGUGUUUUCUGUUGAGGUUUUGGUAAAAGUUCUUUGGAAUAGGACAUCAUAGAGGGUGAGAAUCCCGUAUUUGACCAUUACUUUCAACUUUGUGAUACACUUUCAAAGAGUCGGAUUGUUUGGGAAUGCAGUCCAAAAUGGGUGGUAAAUUUCAUCUAAAGCUAAAUAUUGGCGAGAGACCGAUAGCGAACAAGUACCGUGAGGGAAAGAUGAAAAGAACUUUGAAAAGAGAGUUAAACAGUACGUGAAAUUGUCAAAAGGGAAGCGUUUGACACCAGUGUUGUUUUCUCGAAAAUCAAUUAAAAAGAGUUAGAUUUUGUUGUGUAUUGACCUUAACAGCUUGCAUUUCAAUUUUCUUGCUUUUUUUAAUGCACUUUUCGUUUAACAAGUCAACAUCAGUUUCUUUUGUUGUAAAAAGGUCAUUGGAAGGUGGCUUUCUUUUCGGAGAAAGUGUUUAUAGCCUUUGACUCCUGCAAUCGGAGAGACUGAGGUCUGCAGCGUAGAUCCUUCGGGGUUAGAUACAUUUGUGCUAAGUUAUAGCUUUUUAUAGACAACUUGUUGACUAUGAUUAGUCUUGUAGCUUACUCGCUUAUGCUAUUUUACCUACGCUUAGGAUGUUGAUCUCUCACAGUCGAGC